Molecule: small nucleolar RNA, 90 nt
Organism: Erpetoichthys calabaricus (reedfish)
Lineage: Eukaryota; Metazoa; Chordata; Cladistia; Polypteriformes; Polypteridae
Source: Ensembl
UAUGGUGUUCCAUGAUGAUGACUUUUCUUUCCCUGACAGACCAGCAAUGUUGACAUUAUAGUAAAAAGCCAAAGUGUCCGAGACACCAUU